UUUCCGUAGGUGAACCUGCGGAAGGAUCAUUACAGUAGUCGCCUGGGUUGCCGCAAGGCCUCCCGGGUAGCCUACCACCCUUUGUUUAUUACACUUUGUUGCUUUGGCAGGCCUGCCCUCGGGCUGCUGGCUCCGGCCGGCGAGCGCUUGCCAGAGGACCUAAACUCUGUUUGCCUAUACUGUCUGAGUACUAUAUAAUAGUUAAAACUUUCAACAACGGAUCUCUUGGUUCUG
This 234-nucleotide unclassified non-coding RNA is filed under the name plant metagenome. RNAcentral describes it as "partial contains small subunit ribosomal RNA, internal transcribed spacer 1, and 5.8S ribosomal RNA". The record is from RNAcentral.